AAAGAACAAGGUUUCCCCCCCCAUACUUAAAUUAAACAUAGUCCUCAAUGUUUGAAGGGAAGGAAAUACAAUAGGGAAAGGAAAAAGAAACUACAACUAAUUAUGCCUUCCGCCUCGUGUUCUUGGGCCAGGUGAUCGUUGACGUAUGUCUAAGUUGUCAAAUCUGCUGAACAACUCAGUAAACCGCUGGUCGGUUAUGGCAUUCCUAGCAUCCUGUUGUUGUUGCAUUUGACGCAUCAUUUGCAUCAUCUCGACAUUCUGUGCUUGCAUACCAUCAAUAGCAUCCAUGAUGUCGUCGUUGGUUGCAGGCCUUCUUC
RNAcentral lists this long non-coding RNA (317 nucleotides) under Lathyrus oleraceus (garden pea). Its description in RNAcentral is "Pisum sativum (pea) long non-coding RNA (PSAT_LNC003091)". Lineage: Eukaryota; Viridiplantae; Streptophyta; Magnoliopsida; Fabales; Fabaceae. The record is from RNAcentral.